This 378-nucleotide long non-coding RNA is filed under the name Ananas comosus (pineapple). Its description in RNAcentral is "long non-coding RNA (ACOM_LNC025850)". Lineage: Eukaryota; Viridiplantae; Streptophyta; Magnoliopsida; Poales; Bromeliaceae. The record is from RNAcentral.
AGAGGCGCGACUAGGCGCAGGCACCCGAAGGCGCAAUACAAAGACGAAGCUCGCUUCUAUAACAAAAUACAUGUCGACAUGGCCAACAUUAGCAUAGCAGAAUACCAAGAGACAUCAUACUUCAAAAAUUAUCCAGUCACUAAUUUACAGAACAGAUUAUCAAGUUUCAAAAAUUCAUUUUGCUAAAAGAACUUGUCAAUCACAGUUGAAGCUCAAUUUACAGAAAUAUUUAAUAAUAUACUUAACCCUUAAUUUUAAAAUCUACAAAAUAAGAUUUUCAUAUAAUCGAAAUAUUUUCCUAAAUUAUAUUACGAAAAACUAACAGGUGUCCGGUCGCUUACCUCAAAAGCGGCUUCUAAGUUAAGAAGCUAUCCAAUC